GACGAACGCUGGCGGCGUGCUUAACACAUGCAAGUCGAACGAAAAGGCCCUGCUUUUGCUGGUUGCUCGAUUGGCGAACGGGGGUGUAACACGCGAGUAACCUGCCCUUAUCUUUGGGAUAACUUCAGGAAACUGGGGCUAAAACCGGAUAGGAGCUCCUGCUGCAUGUGGGGGGUUGGAAAGUGUCGGCGGUUGGGGAUGGACUCGCUGCUUAUCAGCUUGUUGGGGGGGUAGUGGCUUACCAAGGCUUUGACGGAUAGCCGGCAUGGGAGGGUGAACGGCCACAAUGGGCCUGAGAUAGGGCGCAGACUGCUACGGGAGGCAGCAGGGGGGAAUAUGGCGCAAUGGGCGGAAGUGUGAUGCAGAAACGCCGCGUGCGUAAUGACGGCUUACGGGGUGUAAACCGCUUUCGCCUGAGCCGAGGCGUGAGUGACGGUAAUGGGUAAAGAAGCACCGGCUAACUACGUG
RNAcentral lists this ribosomal RNA (468 nucleotides) under uncultured bacterium. Its description in RNAcentral is "partial 16S ribosomal RNA". It matches the Rfam family "Bacterial small subunit ribosomal RNA", at positions 28 to 507 of the family's 1533-position model. The record is from RNAcentral.